GGGCGGGUGGCGGAACUGGCAGACGCGCACGGCUCAGGACCGUGUGGCCGUAAGGCCUUAUGGGUUCAACUCCCUUCCCGCCCA
Elusimicrobia bacterium GWA2_51_34 is the source of this 84-nucleotide non-coding RNA. Lineage: Bacteria; Pseudomonadati; Elusimicrobiota. The record is from Rfam.